AGCAGCCGCGGUAAUUCCAGCUCCAAUAGCGUAUAUUAAAGUUGUUGCAGUUAAAAAGCUCAGUAGUUGAAUUUCGGGGUUAGUAGGUUGGUCGUGCCACUGGUACGUACUGGUCUCACUGAUUCCUCCUUCCUGAUGAACUGUAAUGCCAUUAAUUUGGUGUUGCAGGGAAACUGGACUGUUACUUUGAAAAAAUUAGAGUGUUUAAAGCAAGCUAACGCUUGAAUACAUUAGCAUGGAAUAAUGAAAUAGGACGUUCGAUCCUAUUUUGUUGGUUUCUAGGAUUGACGUAAUGAUUAAUAGGGAUAGUUGGGGGGCAUUAGUAUUCAAUUGUCAGAGGUGAAAUUCUUGGAUUUAUUGAAGACUAACUACUGCGAAAGCAUUUGCCAAGGAUGUUUUCAUUAAUCAAUGAACGAAAGUUAGGGGUAUCGAAGGCGAUACAGGAUACCGUCGUACGUCUUAACCAUGAAACUAUGCCGACUAGGGAUCGGAUGGAUGUUAAUUUUUUUGAUGAACUUCA
RNAcentral lists this ribosomal RNA (520 nucleotides) under uncultured Glomus. RNAcentral describes it as "SSU rRNA". It matches the Rfam family "Eukaryotic small subunit ribosomal RNA", at positions 569 to 1078 of the family's 1831-position model. The record is from RNAcentral. Lineage: Eukaryota; Fungi; Glomeromycota; Glomeromycetes; Glomerales; Glomeraceae.